AUGAUGGGACUCGAUCUUAAAAUGUAUUCCAAGUAUUGGGCAAUCCCUCUUCAACCUCCUUCCAAAAUAGUACUUUUUAAAAAUUAUUAUUAUACUUUAAGUUCUGGGAUACACGUGCAGAAAGUGCAGGCCCCUCUGCUGCAUAUCUGCUGGAGUUUGCUGGAGGUCCACUCCAGACCCUGUUUGCCUGGGUAUCACCAGCAGAAGCUGCAGAACAGCAAAGAUUGCUGCCUGUUUCUACUUCUGGAAGCUUUGUCCCAGAGUGGCACCCACCAGAUGCCAGCCAGAGUUCUCCUGUAUGAGGUAUCUGUCGACUCCUGCUGGGAGGUGUCUCCAAGUUAGGAAGCACGGGGGUCAGGGACCCACUUGAGGAGGCAGUCUGUCCCCUAGCAGAGCUUGAGCACUAUGCUUGGAGAUCCACUGCUCUCUUCAGAGCCAGCAGGCAGGAACAUUUAAGUCUGCUGAAGCUGCACCCAGAGCUGCCUCUUCCCCCAGGUGCUAUGUGCCAGGGAGAUGGGAGUUUUAUCUAUAAGUGCCUGACUGGAGCGCCUGCCUUUCUUUCAGGGAUGCCCUUUCCAGAGAGGAGGAAUCUAGAGAGGCAGUCUGGCUACAGCAGCUUUGCCAAGCUGCAGUGGGCUCUGUCCAGUACGAAUUUCCCAGUGGCUUUGUUUACACUGUGAGGGGAAAACUGCCUACUCAAGCCUCAGUAAUGGCAGGCGUAUCUCCCCCCAUCAAGCUCCAACAUGCCAGGUUGACUUCAGACUGCUGUGCUGGCAGUGAGAAUUUCAAGCCAGUGGAUCUUAGCUGGCUGGGCUCCAUGGGGGUGGGAUCUGCUGAACUAGACCACUUGGCUCCUUGGCUUCCAACACCUUUCCAGGGGAGUGAACAGCUUUGUUUCACUGGCAUUCCAGGCACCACUGGGUUAUGAAAACGAAUUCUUGCAGCCAGCUUGGUGUCUGCCCAAACGGCCACCCAGGUUUGUGCUUGAAACCCAGGGCCGUGGUGGUGUAGGCACUGAAGGAAUCUCCUGGUCUGUGGGUUGCGAAGACCAUGGGAAAAACAUAGUAUCUGGGCCGGAGUGCACCGUUCCUCACAGCACAGUCCCUCGUGGUUUCCCUUGUCUAGGGGAGGGAGUUCCCUGACCCCUUGCACUUCCCAAGUAAGGUGGGACACCCCACCCUGUUUUGGCUCGCCCUCCCGUGGGCUGCACCCACCGUCUAACCAGUCCCAAUGAGAUGAGCUGGGCACCUCAGUUGGAAAUGCAGAAAUCACCAGCCUUCUGUGUUGAUCUCCCUGGGAACUGCAGACCUGAGCUGUUCCUAUUAGGCCAUUUUGCCAGCCCAGUAAUCCAAAAUAGUACUUAUAUAUACAUAUGUAUUUUUUUAACCUGCUUUCAAUGGCAGGUUUUACCUCCCCUGCAUAUAAAAGAAGUUUGUGCUGGAUCUUCUGGCCCUGAAUUAAGAGUGACGUGGUUGGAGAGGUAGUGAGUGCCUUUCUUGGGAAGUUUGUUUCCCAUCCUUUGGGUGAGUUGGUUCCAUCAUGAAGAUGGUAGUCUUGUAACCAACUUGAGAAGGAACCAUUCUGGUUUAACAGCUGGACUCAAACAGUAUGGAUUUGGUGACGUGACUGCCAUUGGCUAGCCCUUGGGUUAGAUUCUCCAAUCUAGGUCUCCAUGAGAGCUGGAAUCUUUUACCACUUGAGGGUCUGCAGUAUAAUAAAGAAUAACUCUUCCAGCCAGCAGAUCAGAUCUCCAGAGAUAGGGGUUUUCCUAUACUCAAAGGAACAGAACAGGGAGGCCUUUUAUCAUUAAUCAACAUCAAGUGUAUUGUGGGAAGUCCCAGUCAGUGUUUUGGGGCCUACAAAUACCAAGUCUGGGCGAAUUCCAAGCCCCAAGGGAUCCUGGAGCAAGGUUGCUUCAGUCCAUUUGAAAUCUUUUCCAAGAACAUGAAGAACGUCUUCAGGUGAGCCUAGUCCCCCUUUCUUGAGUUGCAGUUGUGAAGAUUGAUAUCUUGGUCUUGGCUCAUGCUCCCAUUUUUCUUUUCUGCUGUUAUUAUUCCUCUAGGAGAGAUUCAAGUUUUCUUAUCUGGUUUUGGAAACAAUGAGUUCAGGCUAUCUCUGCAUUUUAGUUCAAAAAUAUAGUAUCUGAGAAUGAAUUUACAGAAUGAAAUUCCUAGCAUGUGUCAACAGUGAGAUGCCCUUUUCUCAGUUCUAAAUUUUGUGACUCUGUGAUGGCUCCCUAUUUCACUCAGGGUAAAAGCUAAAGUCCUUACAGGGACUUCAAGACUCAAAACUCCUGACCUUGUGCAUUCUGACCUCAUCUAUGGAUUCCCGCCCCUGCACCCCCGCUUAUCCUUGCUGUUUCUUGAGCAUACCAGGGAUGUGCCUGCCUCAGAGCCUUUGCUUUAGCAGUUCCCUCUGCCCCCAGAUAUCCACAUGGCCCACUCCUUUAUCUCUAACAGCUCACGUUUCAGUGAGGCCUUCCUUGACUCUGUUUAACACUGCAACCUGCCUUUCCAGUCCUCCCAGCACUCCUGACUGCCCUACUGUGGUGUGCUUAUUAUUUUCCAAAGUACUUAGAAAUAUUAUGUUACCUAAUUAUUUUCACAUCGUCGUUUUUCUCCCAUAUGCCAGAAUGGAAACUCCAUAAGAGAAGCAAUUUUUGUCUGCUGUGUUCACUGAUAAAUCCCACAUGCCUAGAACAGUGUCAUUGUGCAGGGUACACAGAAGGGUCUCAACAAAUAUAUGGUAAGUCUUCCGUUCACAUCAUUGAUAGGUUCUUAGGAAAUGACUUGAGAUAAUUUUAUCAUAGGCCAAUUGAUAAACAAGAAUUAAGUUUCUACAGCAUAUUUCUGGUCACAAAAACAUCACCAAACUUCUAAAUAAAGACCAAGACACCUCUGAUAUUAAACAUUGAAAUAAAUGUGAGUUAUACAUACAUUUAGGAAAGAUUCAUAAAAACAAGUAAGAUAAUGAUUUACCCACUUAUUCCAGUUGAGGGUCUUGGGUGGCCAGAGCCCAUCCUGGCAGCUCAGAGCAAAUGACAGAAACCCACUCUGGACAGGUUGCCCUCCCAUUGUGGGGCACACUCACACAGUCACACUCACACACCCACACUGGGAGUGUAGAUAUGCCACUUAACCUAACAUGUACAGGUUUGGGAUGUGGGAGGAAACUGGAGGGCCCGGAGAAAACCUACACAGAAACGAGAAUGUGUAGACCCCACACAGUGGCCCUGGCUGGGAUGUGAUAUUUUCUUAUUGACAUCCUAACUAAAUGACAUCGAACUAAAUGACAUUCGAGGAUUUGGUGUGUGCAUGUAUGUAUGUGUAUAUAAAUACACAGAUAUGUGUGUAUAUUUAUGUGUAUGUAUAUUGACAUGUA
Molecule: long non-coding RNA, 3381 nt
Filed under: Papio anubis (olive baboon)
Lineage: Eukaryota; Metazoa; Chordata; Mammalia; Primates; Cercopithecidae
Description: lncRNA (ENSPANG00000049217.1)
Source: RNAcentral